UGACCACUCAAGCCUUGGCUUGGUAUUGGGGUUCGCGGUUCCGCGGCUCUUAAAAUCAGUGGCGGUGCCGUCUGGUUCUAAGCGUAGUAAUUCUCUCGCUACAGAGUCCGGGUGGUUGCUUGCCAGAAUCCCCCCACUUUUAUA
Molecule: unclassified non-coding RNA, 144 nt
Filed under: uncultured Helotiales
Lineage: Eukaryota; Fungi; Ascomycota; Leotiomycetes; Helotiales
Also listed under: 1 other name
Description: sequence contains ITS2
Source: RNAcentral